RNAcentral lists this ribosomal RNA (195 nucleotides) under uncultured bacterium. RNAcentral's name for it is "partial 16S ribosomal RNA". It matches the Rfam family "Bacterial small subunit ribosomal RNA", at positions 326 to 539 of the family's 1533-position model. The record is from RNAcentral.
ACGCUCGACACCUAGAGGCAGCAGUGGGGAAUAUUGCACAAUGGGGGAAACCCUGAUGCAGCGACGCCGCGUGAGCGAAGAAGUAUCUCGGUAUGUAAAGCUCUAUCAGCAGGGAAGAAGAUGACGGUACCUGACUAAGAAGCACCGGCUAAAUACGUGCUAGCAGCCGCGGUAAUCUGAGCGGGCUGGCAAGGC